AACGAACGGUGGCGGCGUGCUUAACACAUGCAAGUCGACCGAGAAAGAGUUCCUUCGGGAACUUGAGUAGAGUGGCGCACGGGUGAGUAACGCGUAGAUAAUCUACCCUUAUAUAUGGAAUAACUGGGCGAAAGCUCAGCUAAUACCGUAUACGCUUUUCUGUUCGCGAGGGCAGGGGAGGAAAGGUGGCCUCUGAUUCAAGCUAUCGUAUAAGGAUGAGUCUGCGUACCAUUAGCUAGUAGGUGGGGUAAUGGCCCACCUAGGCGACGAUGGUUAGCGGGUCUGAGAGGAUGAUCCGCCACACUGGAACUGGAACACGGACCAGACUCCUACGGGAGGCAGCAGUGAGGAAUUUUGCGCAAUGGGGGUAACCCUGACGCAGCGACGCCGCGUGGGUGAUGAAGGCUUUCGGGUCGUAAAGCACUGUCAAGUGGGAAGAACCGUUAAUAUGCUAAUACCAUGUUAACCUGACGGUACCACUAAAGGAAGCACCGGCUAACUCCCGUGCCAGCAGCCGCGGUAAUACGGAGGGUGCAAGCGUUGUUCGGAAUUACUGGGCGUAAAGGGCGCGUAGGCGGCGCUGUAAGUCCGGAUGUGAAAGUCCACGGCUUAACCCGUGGAA
Molecule: ribosomal RNA, 622 nt
Filed under: uncultured Desulfobulbaceae bacterium
Lineage: Bacteria; Pseudomonadati; Thermodesulfobacteriota; Desulfobulbia; Desulfobulbales; Desulfobulbaceae
Description: bacterial SSU rRNA
Rfam family: Bacterial small subunit ribosomal RNA
Source: RNAcentral